RNAcentral lists this ribosomal RNA (497 nucleotides) under uncultured bacterium. RNAcentral's name for it is "partial 16S ribosomal RNA". It matches the Rfam family "Bacterial small subunit ribosomal RNA", at positions 28 to 507 of the family's 1533-position model. The record is from RNAcentral.
GACGAACGCUGGCGGCGUGCCUAAUACAUGCAAGUUGAGCGCUGAAGGUUGGUACUUGUACCAACUGGAUGAGCAGCGAACGGGUGAGUAACGCGUGGGGAAUCUGCCUUUGAGCGGGGGACAACAUUUGGAAACGAAUGCCAAUACCGCAUAAAAACUUUAAACACAAGUUUUAAGUUUGAAAGAUGCAAUUGCAUCACUCAAAGAUGAUCCCGCGCUGUAUUAGCUAGUUGGUGAGGUAAAGGCUCACCAAGGCGAUGAUACAUAGCCGACCUGAGAGGGUGAUCGGCCACAUUGGGACUGAGACACGGCCCAAACUCCUACGGGAGGCAGCAGUAGGGAAUCUUCGGCAAUGGACGAAAGUCUGACCGAGCAACGCCGCGUGAGUGAAGAAGGUUUUCGGAUCGUAAAACUCUGUUGGUAGAGAAGAACGUUGGUGAGAGUGGAAAGCUCAUCAAGUGACGGUAACUACCCAGAAAGGGACGGCUAACUACGUG